GUGCCGUUUGCAUGUGAUGUGAAUGAGAGUCGGGUAGAUAGGUUUACAUGUGAUGUAGCAAACCCAGUUGAGACCUUAAUUAAAACCUCCUCAAUCAAGUCGAGAGUGAACCAACAUGAGCAAGUCAUAUUAGAUUAAUUGAUCUAAUUGAUGUCUAGGAAAGCAUGAAAGGUGGUUACUUACUUAGGACCUUACUCUCUGAGUAAGGGGAGCCUCCCACCUGCUUACCUGGCCAAUUGUUCGAUUACCUCUUAUGAAGAGCUCAAGUUGCAAACACUAAGACCUGAUUAACCAAUAUUAAGUCAAUAGGUCUUCCACUGUAGUAGAGCUGCUAAGGCCUUUCUGAUGUUGAUUUGUCUCGGCUGGAUACAGUGGUCAAGUUGCAUCGGGGGGCUGGACCUCUCUAUAGACAUGAGAUGUUGUAGGGUAAAGGUGGGGUUGGGCACCAAUAACUGUUAGAUGAGGACCCAAUGACGACUUUACUCCUACGGUU
This 493-nucleotide long non-coding RNA is filed under the name Phoenix dactylifera (date palm). Its description in RNAcentral is "long non-coding RNA (PDAC_LNC008721)". Lineage: Eukaryota; Viridiplantae; Streptophyta; Magnoliopsida; Arecales; Arecaceae. The record is from RNAcentral.